Long non-coding RNA from Dendronephthya gigantea, 465 nucleotides. RefSeq lists it as uncharacterized. The transcript is spliced from 3 exons. Lineage: Eukaryota; Metazoa; Cnidaria; Anthozoa; Malacalcyonacea; Nephtheidae. The record is from RefSeq and is a predicted model, not a curated record.
GAAUUUAUCUUGCUUGGACAACAUAUCAGCUGUUGGGCAACAGGAAAAUUUUCACUAAUUUUGAUUUGGGCUCCCUUGAUUAGAAAUUAUAUUCCGGAUAUUAAGUUGCAAUUAUGCAUUGUCAUAUUGCACCUUGAAGCCUGCCAGCUAGAGCGGCAAAAUGAGCAAAUUUGAAAUGGCGCCUAUCAACUGUUUAUGCGUGCAUGAGCGCGCGGGUAAAGAUCUUUACCAAUAAUUUCGCGAAGACUGUCCCAAAUCUUUGCUGGAUAUUAGCAUCUAUGGAGAAGUCAAGGCGUUUUAACACGUGCAUAUAUAAAGGUUAAUACCAGAUUGCUUAUCAUGGCCGGUGAAAUCAAGUUGGGCCACGAUCAUCCAAUCAUUCCGAAUAAACAUGACAUGAAAGGUUGCCAGACCUUAAAAAUGGCUUGGCUCAGGAGGCACAAAUUGUGUCACAAGUAGAUGUCU